This 253-nucleotide ribosomal RNA is filed under the name uncultured bacterium. RNAcentral describes it as "partial 16S ribosomal RNA". It matches the Rfam family "Bacterial small subunit ribosomal RNA", at positions 524 to 776 of the family's 1533-position model. The record is from RNAcentral.
UACAGAGGCCCCAAGCGUUGUUCGGAUUCACUGGGCGUAAAGGGUGCGUAGGUGGUGGGGUAAGUCGGAUGUGAAAGCUCGGAGCUCAACUCCGAAAUGGCAUUGGAAACUACCCUGCUAGAGGAUUGGAGGGGGGACUGGAAUACUUGGUGUAGCAGUGAAAUGCGUAGAUAUCAAGUGGAACACCAGUGGCGAAGGCGAGUCCCUGGACAAUUCCUGACACUGAGGCACGAAAGCUAGGGGAGCAAACAGG